UACGUAGGGUGCAAGCGUUAUUCGGAAUUAUUGGGCGUAAAGGGCGCGUAGGCGGUUCUGCAAGCCCGGCGUGAAAAUCUGGAGCUUAACUCCGGAACUGCGUUGGGAACUGCGGGACUAGAGUCAUAGAAGGGGAGUUGGAAUUCCAGGUGUAGGGGUGAAAUCUGUAGAUAUCUGGAAGAACACCGGUGGCGAAGGCGAACUCCUGGCUACUGACUGACGCUGAGGCGCGAAAGUGCGGGGAGCAAACAGG
This 253-nucleotide ribosomal RNA is filed under the name uncultured bacterium. RNAcentral's name for it is "partial 16S ribosomal RNA". It matches the Rfam family "Bacterial small subunit ribosomal RNA", at positions 524 to 776 of the family's 1533-position model. The record is from RNAcentral.